This 384-nucleotide ribosomal RNA is filed under the name uncultured Desulfocapsa sp. RNAcentral describes it as "bacterial SSU rRNA". It matches the Rfam family "Bacterial small subunit ribosomal RNA", at positions 1001 to 1382 of the family's 1533-position model. Lineage: Bacteria; Pseudomonadati; Thermodesulfobacteriota; Desulfobulbia; Desulfobulbales; Desulfocapsaceae. The record is from RNAcentral.
AUGAAAGUACGUUUUCACCCUCGGGUGACAGGGAGACAGGUGGUGCAUGGUUGUCGUCAGCUCGUGUCGUGAGAUGUUGGGUUAAGUCCCGCAACGAGCGCAACCCCUACGUUUAGUUGCUAACGCGUGAAGGCGAGCACUCUAGACGAACUGCCGUUGACAAACCGGAGGAAGGUGGGGAUGACGUCAAGUCCUCAUGGCCUUUAUGACCAGGGCUACACACGUACUACAAUGGCCGGUACAAAGGGCAGCGACACAGCGAUGUGAAGCGAAUCCCGAAAAGCCGGUCUCAGUCCGGAUUGGAGUCUGCAACUCGACUCCAUGAAGUUGGAAUCGCUAGUAAUCGCGGAUCAGCACGCCGCGGUGAAUACGUUCCCGGGCCUU